This 1439-nucleotide ribosomal RNA is filed under the name uncultured organism. RNAcentral describes it as "SSU rRNA". It matches the Rfam family "Bacterial small subunit ribosomal RNA". The record is from RNAcentral.
CAGGCUUAACACAUGCAAGUCGAGGGGCAGCAUGGUCUUAGCUUGCUAAGGCCGAUGGCGACCGGCGCACGGGUGAGUAACACGUAUCCAACCUGCCGUCUACUCUUGGACAGCCUUCUGAAAGGAAGAUUAAUACAAGAUGGCAUCAUGAGUCCGCAUGUUCACAUGAUUAAAGGUAUUCCGGUAGACGAUGGGGAUGCGUUCCAUUAGAUAGUAGGCGGGGUAACGGCCCACCUAGUCUUCGAUGGAUAGGGGUUCUGAGAGGAAGGUCCCCCACAUUGGAACUGAGACACGGUCCAAACUCCUACGGGAGGCAGCAGUGAGGAAUAUUGGUCAAUGGGCGAGAGCCUGAACCAGCCAAGUAGCGUGAAGGAUGACUGCCCUAUGGGUUGUAAACUUCUUUUAUAAAGGAAUAAAGUCGGGUAUGCAUACCCGUUUGCAUGUACUUUAUGAAUAAGGAUCGGCUAACUCCGUGCCAGCAGCCGCGGUAAUACGGAGGAUCCGAGCGUUAUCCGGAUUUAUUGGGUUUAAAGGGAGCGUAGAUGGAUGUUUAAGUCAGUUGUGAAAGUUUGCGGCUCAACCGUAAAAUUGCAGUUGAUACUGGAUAUCUUGAGUGCAGUUGAGGCAGGCGGAAUUCGUGGUGUAGCGGUGAAAUGCUUAGAUAUCACGAAGAACUCCGAUUGCGAAGGCAGCCUGCUAAGCUGCAACUGACAUUGAGGCUCGAAAGUGUGGGUAUCAAACAGGAUUAGAUACCCUGGUAGUCCACACGGUAAACGAUGAAUACUCGCUGUUUGCGAUAUACAGCAAGCGGCCAAGCGAAAGCGUUAAGUAUUCCACCUGGGGAGUACGCCGGCAACGGUGAAACUCAAAGGAAUUGACGGGGGCCCGCACAAGCGGAGGAACAUGUGGUUUAAUUCGAUGAUACGCGAGGAACCUUACCCGGGCUUAAAUUGCAGAUGAAUUACGGUGAAAGCCGUAAGCCGCAAGGCAUCUGUGAAGGUGCUGCAUGGUUGUCGUCAGCUCGUGCCGUGAGGUGUCGGCUUAAGUGCCAUAACGAGCGCAACCCUUGUUGUCAGUUACUAACAGGUUCCGCUGAGGACUCUGACAAGACUGCCAUCGUAAGAUGUGAGGAAGGUGGGGAUGACGUCAAAUCAGCACGGCCCUUACGUCCGGGGCUACACACGUGUUACAAUGGGGGGUACAGAGGGCCGCUACCACGCGAGUGGAUGCCAAUCCCAAAAACCUCUCUCAGUUCGGACUGGAGUCUGCAACCCGACUCCACGAAGCUGGAUUCGCUAGUAAUCGCGCAUCAGCCACGGCGCGGUGAAUACGUUCCCGGGCCUUGUACACACCGCCCGUCAAGCCAUGGGAGCCGGGGGUACCUGAAGUGCGUAACCGCGAGGAGCGCCCUAGGGUAAAACUGGUGACUGGGGCUAAGA